This 71-nucleotide transfer RNA is filed under the name Treponema sp. RNAcentral's name for it is "tRNA-Lys". It matches the Rfam family "tRNA". Rfam says of the family: Transfer RNA (tRNA) molecules are approximately 80 nucleotides in length. Their secondary structure includes four short double-helical elements and three loops (D, anti-codon, and T loops). Further hydrogen bonds mediate the characteristic L-shaped molecular structure. tRNAs have two regions of fundamental functional importance: the anti-codon, which is responsible for specific mRNA codon recognition, and the 3' end, to which the tRNAs corresponding amino acid is attached (by aminoacyl-tRNA synthetases). tRNAs cope with the degeneracy of the genetic code in two manners: having more than one tRNA (with a specific anti-codon) for a particular amino acid; and 'wobble' base-pairing, i.e. permitting non-standard base-pairing at the 3rd anti-codon position. Lineage: Bacteria; Pseudomonadati; Spirochaetota; Spirochaetia; Treponematales; Treponemataceae. RNAcentral also lists the same sequence under 1 other name. The record is from RNAcentral.
GGACUUGUAAUUCAAUAGUAGAAUACGUGACUUUUAAUCACGCUACGAGGGAGCGUAACCCUCCAAGUCCA